Long non-coding RNA from Scleropages formosus (Asian bonytongue), 2248 nucleotides. Lineage: Eukaryota; Metazoa; Chordata; Actinopteri; Osteoglossiformes; Osteoglossidae. The record is from Ensembl.
GGUGCAGCUCCUGUGAGAAGAGGAGAGAGAGAGAAAAACGCAGACCCUGAUAAUAUUACGUUAUAAUUGCGGUCAAAAAGGACAUAAAGCCUGGAGAUGUCCAAAUGAACGUCGUAAAAGUCAAAAACAGUGGUGUAGCUAUUGCAAAAGCUCAACACACAAAGACGCAUCUUGCAGACGCAAAAGAAGGGACGACGCAAAACAAGCGACGCAUGAAGAGGACGCAGAUAAACAUGCUGCAUUUGUCUUCAAAACGUGUGAUUAUCAACUAGACGGGCUGAAACAUAAAGGACUAAUGGUUGAUACGGGAGCAACAUCACACAUAAUUACCGACAUCGGAAAGUUUAAGAAAUUUGACGAGACUUUCCAAACGGGCAAACAUUUCAUUGAGCUUGCGGACGGGACAAGAGCGAGUGGCGUUGCGCUGAAGAGAGGUGACGCGGAGAUAUGUUUGAUUGACAGUGAAGGAAAGCAAGUGAGUACAACGCUAAAGAAAGCACUGUACAUUCCUUCAUAUCCACAAGACAUAUUCUCUGUUAAAGCAGCGACUGCCAACGGGGCUUCUGUUCGUUUUCGACAAGGACAUGACGAGCUCAUCCACAAGGAUGGCACGAGAUUUGAAAUAAAAGAGUAUAAUAGACUGUACUAUCUAAACACUAUAGAUAAGGGAGGAGAUUAUUGUAACGGCUGUUACGACAUUCAAACUUGGCACGAAAUCCUCGGCCACUGCAACUAUGAUGAUGUUUCCAAGUUGCCAGAUAUUGUGGAAGGAAUGGAAAUCAAAGGAAAGAUUGACAAGUCCAAACUGCACUGUGAAGUCUGCACACAAGGCAAAUUUGCGCAAAGCAGGAACAGAGAACCCGAUGCACGUGCCAAAGUCCCACUUGAACUUGUGCACACAGACUUGGCUGGUCCUAUUCAACCAGAGGCUAAAGAUGGUCACAGGUAUGCACUUGUAUUUGUUGAUGAUUUCUCAGGCACAAUAUUUGUUUACUUCCUGAAAGCGAAAAGUGACACUGUAAAGGCUACGGAAAAAUUCCUAGCAGACACUGCUCCUUAUGGUACUGUAAAGUGCAUUAGGUCAGAUAAUGGCACUGAAUUCACAGCAACAAAUUUUCGGUCAUUGCUAAGCAAAAAUCGCAUUAAACAUGAGACCUCUGCACCGUAUUCACCCCACCAAAACGGUACUGCUGAAAGAAGUUGGCGAACAUUGUUUGAAAUGGCCAGAUGCAUGCUCAUUGAGAGUAAAUUACCAAAAGAGUUAUGGACUUACGCUGUGAUGACUGCUGCAGUAAUUCGCAACAGAUGCAUUAAUAACAGAGUAAAGCAGACUCCAUACUACAUGUUGACAGGAAGAAAACCGGAUCUUUCAAAGAUGAGAGUUUUUGGAUGCAUGUGCUAUGCAUACAAACACGACAGAAAGAAGCUAGAUUCACGUUGUGAGAAGGGAAUAUUUGUUGGGUAUGACAAGAAUAGCCCUUCAUACCUAGUGUAUUACACAGACACUGGAAGAGUCCUUAAACACAGGCUUGUCAAAUUCUUCAAGAAAUGUGCUGUCGAGCAGCAAACUCAAACUGACCCACAAAUACCAGAUGAGGAUGUUUAUGGGGGAAGUUAUUUGCCAUCUAAGGUAAGAACAAACAUCACUGAACAGAGUUCAGGGAAGUCUCAAGAUAGUGGAGACAAAACAGAUCUUCAAAAUGAUGAUCAGACUGAAAAUAUUCAGAAUAGAUGCAACCCCAAAAGGAACAGGAAAGCUCCCCAAUACUUAUCUGACUACGUAACUGAUAUUGAAGAUGAUGAUCAGAUACUUACUAAUAUUGACUACUGUUACAGAAUGUGUAAUGUACCACAAACCUUCAAGGAAGCCAUGAGUUCAACCAAAUCACAGAUCUGGAUUAAAGCCAUGGAAGAAGAGAUGGAUUCUCUAAAAGAAAAUGGAACUUUUACGUUGAUGGCUCUACCCGAAGGCAAACAUGCAGUGGGGGGUAGAUGGGUCUAUGCAAUCAAGAACAAUGCAGAUAACAAUGAAACAUAUAAGGCUAGAUAUGUUGCUAAGGGUUAUAGUCAAGUAAUGGGAAGAGACUAUAAGGAAACCUUUUCUCCAACAGCAAAUAUCACAUCAGUUCGUGUCUUGAUGCAAAUGGCAGCACAGUAAGACCUUGUUCUACAUCAGAUGGAUGUGAAAACGGCUUACUUACAUGCUCCAAUUGAUUGUGAGAUCUAUGUGGAACAGCCAGAAGGUUUU